RNAcentral lists this ribosomal RNA (275 nucleotides) under uncultured prokaryote. RNAcentral's name for it is "partial 16S ribosomal RNA". It matches the Rfam family "Bacterial small subunit ribosomal RNA", at positions 524 to 798 of the family's 1533-position model. The record is from RNAcentral.
UACGGAGGAUCCGAGCGUUAUCCGGAUUUAUUGGGUUUAAAGGGUGCGCAGGCGGGGGAUUAAGUCGGCGGUGGAAUUUUGCAGCUCAACUGUAAAAGUGCCUUCGAAACUGGUUUCCUUGAGUGUAGAUGAAGUAGGCGGAAUUUGUGGUGUAGCGGUGAAAUGCAUAGAUAUCACGAGGAACUCCGAUUGCACAGGCAGCUUACUAAACUACUACUGACGCUCAGGCACGAAGGCGUGGGGAUCAAACAGGAUUAGAUACCCUGGUAGUCCCU